AUGCAGUUGAUCUUGAGUGAUAGCACCGUGAUUAACAUUAAUGGGAAUUUGGGGUAUUCUAGCGGGAUGCGACAUGGGUGUACUGUUUCCUGGGUAGCAUUUCCCCUUCUCUUUAACCUUCAGAUGGACGCCCUCGUGGCCAUCCUGGAUAAGACUAGGAUGCUCGGCCACAUCUCAGGUGUAGUUGGGUAUAUUGUUAAUGUAGGUGGUGUAACCCACCUCUAGUAUGCCGAUGACACAAUGAUCAUGGUAGAGGGGUUGGAACUACAUCAACCUCAAGUUCCUUCACCUCUUCUUUGA
Molecule: ribosomal RNA, 300 nt
Filed under: Triticum aestivum (bread wheat)
Lineage: Eukaryota; Viridiplantae; Streptophyta; Magnoliopsida; Poales; Poaceae
Description: partial small subunit ribosomal RNA
Source: RNAcentral